GUACUGACCUAGCGGCGGACGGGCUGAGUAUACUUAGGAAUCUGCCUAUUAAUGGGGGACAACAUCUCGGAAAGGGAUGCUAAUACCGCAUACGCCCUACGGGGGAAAGCAGGGGAUCACUUGUGACCUUGCGUUAAUAGAUGAGCCUAAGUCGGAUUAGCUAGUUGGUGGGGUAAAGGCCUACCAAGGCGACGAUCUGUAGCGGGUCUGAGAGGAUGAUCCGCCACACUGGGACUGAGACACGGCCCAGACUCCUACGGGAGGCAGCAGUGGGGAAUAUUGGACAAUGGGGGGAACCCUGAUCCAGCCAUGCCGCGUGUGUGAAGAAGGCCUUAUGGUUGUAAAGCACUUUAAGCGAGGAGGAGGCUCUCUUGGUUAAUACCCAAGAUGAGUGGACGUUACUCGCAGAAUAAGCACCGGCUAACUCUGUGCCAGCAGCCGCGGUAAUACAGAGGGUGCGAGCGUUAAUCGGAUUUACCUGGGCGUUAAGCGUGCGUAGGCAGCUUUUUAAGUCCGAUGUGAAAUCCC
Molecule: ribosomal RNA, 528 nt
Filed under: Acinetobacter sp. UMB 32
Lineage: Bacteria; Pseudomonadati; Pseudomonadota; Gammaproteobacteria; Moraxellales; Moraxellaceae
Description: bacterial SSU rRNA
Rfam family: Bacterial small subunit ribosomal RNA
Source: RNAcentral